AAAUGGUACAACCAUGCACCAUUUCUUUCAUAAAGGAGAAUGUGAAUGUCAUGGACAGGAUAUUGCAAUCAAGCAUUCUUGCAAAUAUGGGAAGGAAGUUUGUUCAGUUCCAAAGUGAAAGAACAAUAGAUUUUCUUUAAAGCUGCAGUCUGUAAGGUCUUAGUCUCCUGACAAUUGCAAAGAUGAGAUGUAGCCCUAAGUGCAGUCUUGCCAGAAUUCAUGACAUGAGUCUGCUGCUUCAAAGGAAGAGAUUCAUUUAAAGUGAGGCACUAUCAAGGAAUUCGGAUUUACUUCAUCCUUUGUAAGAAAACAAACAGACACAAAAGCCCUUCCUAAACUAGGU
Molecule: long non-coding RNA, 343 nt
Organism: Pezoporus flaviventris
Lineage: Eukaryota; Metazoa; Chordata; Aves; Psittaciformes; Psittacidae
Exons: 3
Source: RefSeq, a predicted model, not a curated record